RNAcentral lists this long non-coding RNA (346 nucleotides) under Trifolium pratense (red clover). RNAcentral describes it as "long non-coding RNA (TPRA_LNC013536)". The record is from RNAcentral. Lineage: Eukaryota; Viridiplantae; Streptophyta; Magnoliopsida; Fabales; Fabaceae.
UGAGGAAGGAUCCACUGCACUCAAAACCUGGUCCCAAAUAGUGAGAUUAAAAAGGUAGUGUAAUGUUAGGUUGAAAAGUAAGAGUCCUAGUCACAACUCACAACUCACAACCCAACCUUUCUCCUCUUGCACUCAUUCACCCCACUUUCCUUUCCUUUUCUUUUCUUUCCUCAACAACACUUCAUACACUACACUUUCCCUUACAACACUAUCUUCAUCAACGAUGAAAACAAUAACAUUAUUCAUAAGAGCUUUUUUGAUACUCACCAAUGUCUGUCUGCAUUUAGCAACACCAGAUCACCACCUCAAAACCACCUCCAAGGAACAGAUCCAGUGCACAAUGUGU